This 253-nucleotide ribosomal RNA is filed under the name uncultured bacterium. RNAcentral's name for it is "partial 16S ribosomal RNA". It matches the Rfam family "Bacterial small subunit ribosomal RNA", at positions 524 to 776 of the family's 1533-position model. The record is from RNAcentral.
UACGUAGGGUGCAAGCGUUAAUCGGAAUUACUGGGCGUAAAGCGUGCGCAGGCGGUUGUGCAAGACAGGUGUGAAAUCCCCGGGCUUAACCUGGGAACUGCACUUGUGACUGCACAGCUGGAGUACGGCAGAGGGGGAUGGAAUUCCGCGUGUAGCAGUGAAAUGCGUAGAUAUGCGGAGGAACACCGAUGGCGAAGGCAGCCCCCUGGGCCUGUACUGACGCUCAUGCACGAAAGCGUGGGGAGCAAACAGG